Molecule: small nuclear RNA, 163 nt
Organism: Hippoglossus stenolepis (Pacific halibut)
Lineage: Eukaryota; Metazoa; Chordata; Actinopteri; Pleuronectiformes; Pleuronectidae
Product: U1 spliceosomal RNA
Exons: 1
Source: RefSeq, a predicted model, not a curated record
AUACUUACCUGGCAGGGAGAUACCAUGAUCAUGAAGGUGGUUCACCCAGGCGAGGCUCAGCCAUUGCCACUUGAGUUUGUGCUGACCCGUGCGAAUUCCCCAAAUGUGAAGAUCUGACUGCAUAAUUUGUGGUAGUGGGGGACUGCGUCCGCGCUCUCCCUAA